Molecule: long non-coding RNA, 985 nt
Filed under: Selaginella moellendorffii
Lineage: Eukaryota; Viridiplantae; Streptophyta; Lycopodiopsida; Selaginellales; Selaginellaceae
Description: long non-coding RNA (SMOE_LNC002204)
Source: RNAcentral
GCCAUCUUUUCCACCGUUGAGACACGCACAGGCCUUGAGAGCUGCAACGUAAGUCACACCAUCGGCUACUACUCUAUCGUCCUCGAUCAUUCGCUGGUACUGCUCCAGAGCUAUCUUGGCUUCGCCACUCUCGGCGUGGCCCAUGAUGAGGCAGUUCCACGACGCUACUUCUCGACGCGGCAUUCUCUCAAACACUUCUCGAGCGUCAGUGGUGCUACCACACUUGGCGAACAUAUCAACAAGGCUAGCACCCACGGAAGAGUCCAACUCGACGUGCUCUCUCGCUUGGAGGUAAAUCUCCUUUGCUUUCUCUAGACUUUUCGAUUUGAUCCUCCUGCCUUCUACCAUUCUUGCUUCUUCCUUGGCUGCCAUGCUCGAGCACGCUUUUGCUGCCGCUACCACCGCUAUAGCAUCUGCCGCGCAUCCUUCUUCUUGCAUUCGUUUGUAGAGCUCCAGCCCCGUCUUUCCAUCUCCAUUUUCAGCAUAGCCAAGGAUCAUCCCCGUCCAAGAUACCACACUCUUGUUUGGAAUGCUCUCAAACACUGUCCUUGACUCUUCCAGGCUUCCGCAUUUGGCGUACAUGUCCACCAAGCUGUUGGCCACAAAGAUGUGUAGCUGCGCACAAAAACUUUGGCAAGCGUGACGGUGGAUCUCUCGGCCUUUUGCCAGUGCUCCCAGCUUCACCACUUUGCCUUCGACUGGAACAGCAGCUUCUUUGUCCGCCAAGCUCGAGCAGGCCUUGAGAGCAGCAACAUACGUGACAUAGUUUGGAGUGAAGCCGCGCUCUAGCAUCCUCUCGUACAGCUCCAGCGCGAGCUCGCCUUCGUGGUUAUCAGCAUGGCCGAGAAUGAUGGUUGUCCAGGAGAUUAGCGUGGGAUUGGGAACAGUGUCGAAGACAAGCCGAGCUUCACGCAAGCUUCCACACUUGCAGUAGACAUCAACGAGGCUGGUGGCAACGAAAACUUCCGAGGCAUGGCCGUCGGCU